AGAAGGUUUAUUUUUCAUCAAACCUAUGCAGAUGGUAAAAGCAGAGUGUGACUGUGUGGGUCCAGCUUUGUGAGUCCUGGGACCAUCCCUCCCUCAGCAGCAGCCAGCCCGGGGUGCUGGGUUUUGUGUCCCCACAACUGGGAGCGGGGGAUGGGCACUCUCACUUAAUCCCGACUCUGGGCUCCUGUUCCUGGCAGCAUGUCUGCACCCCCUUGCUCAGGGUCUGGAGGGACCUUUGGGUUCUAUGCUUUUAAUUUUGUUCUAGAGUUCAGACACCUUCUAUGAAUGUAACUCAGCUGAGAACACUGUCAAUAGGGCUCAG
Molecule: long non-coding RNA, 322 nt
Filed under: Bos taurus (domestic cattle)
Lineage: Eukaryota; Metazoa; Chordata; Mammalia; Artiodactyla; Bovidae
Description: long non-coding RNA NONBTAT001546
Source: RNAcentral